RNAcentral lists this ribosomal RNA (505 nucleotides) under uncultured Eubacteriales bacterium. RNAcentral's name for it is "uncultured Clostridiales bacterium partial 16S ribosomal RNA". Lineage: Bacteria; Bacillati; Bacillota; Clostridia; Eubacteriales. The record is from RNAcentral.
CACGUAGUUAGCCGUGGCUUUCUCACAGAGUACCGUCACUUUCUUCUUCCUCUGCGACAGAAGUUUACAACCCGAAGGCCGUCAUCCUUCACGCGGCGUUGCUGCGUCAGGGUUUCCCCCAUUGCGCAAUAUUCCCCACUGCUGCCUCCCGUAGGAGUCUGGGCCGUGUCUCAGCCCCAAUGUGGCCGAUCAACCUCUCAGUUCGGCUACUGAUCGUCGACUAGGUGGGCCGUUACCCCGCUACUAUCUAAUCAGACGCGAGUCCAUCUGUAAGCGAUAAAUCUUUCAAAGCUUCCCCAUGACGGAAAAACUUCAAUAUGCGGUAUUAGCACAGAUUUCUCUGUGUUAUCCCCCUCUUACAGGCAGGUUACUCACGCGUUACUCCACCCGUCCGCCGCUCUCCACAAAAGCUUCACCCCGAAGGGAUCAGUCUCUUCGUUCCCGCUCGACUUGCAUGUGUUAGCACGCCGCCAGCGUCUCCGUGACGCACGGACUCUAACUACCU